This 255-nucleotide long non-coding RNA is filed under the name Elaeis guineensis (African oil palm). RNAcentral's name for it is "long non-coding RNA (EGUI_LNC000950)". The record is from RNAcentral. Lineage: Eukaryota; Viridiplantae; Streptophyta; Magnoliopsida; Arecales; Arecaceae.
UUCCAGUUAAUUACAAAUUAAAGUGAGUUAUUUUAAUUGAAAAAUAAGUACUUCUACCUAUCAUUUCUCCAAUAUUGACUACAUAGUCCAUCAAUCUUGUGCAGCAAAAAAGGUUGUGUAAUACAUGACAGUCUAGCUUUUAAGUUGGGUAAUUCCUCACACAUCAUGCCAGUUAUCGUCAAUUAAUUAUCAUUUCACUAUUGAAAGAUGAAGUGGUGGCAUUUUGCUUUUUAAUUUAAAAAAAAAUGAUUUGUA